AUGAAUAAUAAAAUGUAUUUUGGUAGAUAUAUAAAAUGUUCAAUUUCUAUAUCUAUAUUAUAUACAACUCCAAUCUAUUGGCAAAAAAAUGUGCAUAGAUUGAGGGCAAAGAACUCUAAAAAAAGUGAAAAAAUUUAGGAGGGACGGGAUUACAUUUUUUGUUUGAUUUCAUCAAAAAAGUAGACAACUUGGCCUUCUAUUAUGGCGGGAAAAUGUCCACGGAGUCCCUAGUCUCAUAUAAAGCCCUAACUCGUCUUCAAGACCCACAUAAUCUCAACCCUCCUCACUCCUCUCUGCGAUCACCUUCUCUAUUGUUUUCACCGAUAAAUUGGUGCCCUAACAUGUCUCGAAAAGCCAUGUUCGACCUCUUUUCUCGACGAAUAUAGGUUUUUUUGGCUCUGUACAACAGUCCUCAUCAGUUGUUUCGGGUUUGUUCAAUCGAAUUUGGGGCUUUCACUGAGAAAAUUUGUUUUUUGAUCUCAUUUGGAUAAAAAUGGCUGAUGUGUUUGAAGAGGAAGCUGAAGCUGAGCCCACGGUUUCAAUCCACGAGUACCUCAAGGAUGUUGAGGAUCAGGAAUUGAGGAUUGCUGAAUGUUUAAAGGUCACUUGGUUUACUAUGGUUUGCGACAGCUUCUAAUGCUUACUGCACUAUGAAACAAGCUAGUUUGUUCAAUUGUAUAUGGAUGAUCAAAUACUUAAUGGUUCUGUUUCUGGUUAGUUUGUUCAAUUGUACGAGAAUCCUAAGGCCCUAUUAAUGUGUUGUCAGCUCAAGUUAACAAAUUUUAUCCCAAUUACAUGGACCCAUUUGGCUUUA
Molecule: long non-coding RNA, 814 nt
Organism: Camellia sinensis
Lineage: Eukaryota; Viridiplantae; Streptophyta; Magnoliopsida; Ericales; Theaceae
Source: RefSeq, a predicted model, not a curated record